AUACGUAGGGGGCAAGCGUUAUCCGGAUUUACUGGGUGUAAAGGGAGCGUAGACGGUUCUGCAAGUCUGGAGUGAAAGCCCGGGGCUCAACCCCGGGACUGCUUUGGAAACUGUGGAACUGGAGUGCAGGAGAGGUAGGCGGAAUUCCCGGUGUAGCGGUGGAAUGCGUAGAUAUCGGGAGGAACACCAGUGGCGAAGGCGACUACCUGGACCGAUACUGACACUGAGGAGCGAAAGCGUGGGGAGC
This 247-nucleotide ribosomal RNA is filed under the name uncultured bacterium. RNAcentral's name for it is "partial 16S ribosomal RNA". It matches the Rfam family "Bacterial small subunit ribosomal RNA", at positions 523 to 769 of the family's 1533-position model. The record is from RNAcentral.